GAUGAACGCUAGCGACAGGCCUAACACAUGCAAGUCGAGGGGCAACGGGGCGUAGCAAUACGCUGCCGGCGACCGGCGGAUGGGUGAGUAACGCGUAUGCAACCUGCCUUCAGCAGGGGGAUAGCCCGUUGAAAGACGGAUUAAUACCCCAUAACACAGGGGCUCCGCAUGGAGAUUAUUGUUAAAGGGAUGCUUCCUUCGGGGGUAUUCCGGCUGAAGAUGGGCAUGCGUUCCAUUAGGUAGUUGGUUGAGGUAACGGCUCACCAAGCCUACGAUGGAUAGGGGAACUGAGAGGUUGGUCCCCCACACUGGUACUGAGACACGGACCAGACUCCUACGGGAGGCAGCAGUGAGGAAUCUUGGUCAAUGGACGGAAGUCUGAACCAGCCAUGUCGCGUGAAGGAGGACGGCCCUAAGGGUUGUAAACUUCUUUUGCAGCGGAAUAAAGUAUUCCACGUGAUGGGAUAUUGCAAGUACGCUGCGAAUAAGGAUCGGCUAACUCCGUGCC
This 508-nucleotide ribosomal RNA is filed under the name uncultured bacterium. Its description in RNAcentral is "bacterial SSU rRNA". It matches the Rfam family "Bacterial small subunit ribosomal RNA", at positions 28 to 509 of the family's 1533-position model. The record is from RNAcentral.